GGGGGGAGGUGGGUGGGAGCUGGAAGAACCCUGGGAGACCCAGACAAGCUGCCCCCACGGCCUCACCGAGACAGACCGAGCUCUGAGCUCUUUGAUGCAGACCGCAGGACGCCUGCAGCUUCCUCAGUGCCAAUUACGGAGAAAUAAUUCAGCGUGCUCACCCCCUGCCUCUCAGCAGACACUCUUUGGGGACAUUUUAAAUCUGACUGUACCUGCUGAGCAGCUGACAAGUGAAGCCUUCCCUCCUGACUGCCUGCCUGCCGUCUCCUCCACCUCUCUGCCCAGGCUCUUUCAUGGGGAAGAGAGGACCUCAAGCUGGGGGUGGUCAGCCCUGCCCCCAGAGCAGGGCCUGCUCCCAUCAGCGCACAUUGCUGCCCCCGGGCUCUGCCUCAAGAUAAGCUCCAGGGUAAGAGCCGGCCUGGGAUCGGUGUCAGCUGCCGGGUCCGAGGGCUAAGCCGGGCUCAGGCGCAGGAAGACCAGGAGGACAAGUGCUGCGAGCCCCGGUUCACAGUCUCUGAAAGAGCCAGGGAUGGGCGCCCUGCACAACCAGGAACAGACCCCAAAGCUGGCCUCUCCCACUCUGCCGGCCUUCCCAGUCUAAACAGGUAAGUCCUAAGUUCCUCCCACAGGCAAGCAGCUGCUGUCAUCUGCAUGGUUGGCCUCGCAGGUCCCGUUGGGGCAGGAACUGUCUUUGUUUAGGAAAAUUCUUUUUCCUUUUUUAGGGCCACUCCCAUGGCACAUGGAGGUUCCCAGGCUAGAGGUCGAAUCGGAGCAGCAGCUGCUGGCCUACACCACAGUCAUGGCAACGCGGGAUCUUUAACCCAGUGCAGGAAGCCAGGGGUCAAACCUGCAUCCUCAUAGGUACUAGUUGGGUUCUUAACCCACUGAGCCACAGCAGGAACUCCUAGGAAAAUACUUUUCAAGGCUGAUUGUGGAUGAUCCAGAGAACACAGUCUAACCAGAGGCCAAGGCCACAAAAGAGAUAGAAAUGAAUAGGAAUUUAGAGGAAGGAAGACAGGUCAGACCGUGACACCAGAGAGACGGAGUGAGGCUGGCGGUCCCUGAGAGAAGCCACCCCUGCCCCUCCGUGGCCACACACCCCACGGGGGUCCGGAGGACUGGCCUGUCUUGUUCCCUGUGAUGCUCUUUGCGCCAGAGGGAUGUAAGCAGCUCCUACCCUACCCUCCACCUCCACGGCGUUGCCUGCACACACACACACACACACACACACACACACACGCACACACCUUGUGGAGGUGGACGUGGGGGAGGAGGGGCCGAACGGCACAGCUGAGUCUCUGUGGUUCGGAAUCUCAGGUAUGGAAGCGAUAUUCACCCCCCAACAUGGAGUCAGCUCAGCCAAAGCAGGUCCCCUGAGCCAGAGAGGCAGCUCUCCAGGGCUUUGCAGAAACCUCAGCAAAGACCUCAGCCUUUCCCAGGACACCUCAGUGGAC
RNAcentral lists this long non-coding RNA (1454 nucleotides) under Sus scrofa (pig). RNAcentral describes it as "lncRNA (ENSSSCG00015025552.1)". The record is from RNAcentral. Lineage: Eukaryota; Metazoa; Chordata; Mammalia; Artiodactyla; Suidae.